AUGGCAGCUGCGUGCUGGGUGGUCCGUCCCCAGUGUCCCCCUGCAGUGGCACGGGCUCCGUCCCCAGCCCUGCUCCAGCAUCACCUCCUCGCUGUAGCACCUCUCCAAGGACAGUGCGGACACAUUUCCCUGCACCUGCAAAGCUGCAGGCCCCAAUCCCGUCCAAACACACCACCUUUUUCCUCCCAUCUUAAAAGUUCAACCCAUUUAGAAAUCCUCUCGUUUCCUCAGUGCCCACGGACUUCAGGUCCUACUGGAGAAGCAUUUUGGGGCCCCAGUACGCCCAGUGCACCGCCGUGCCCAUCUCACCGAGGUAACCAACGCAUCUCGGCAGCACAACGAGAACGGGAUGUUUUCCUACCGCUCCGUGCCCAGACCUUAUGUGGGGUGCCAAAGAGGUGGAAAUGGCUCAGGGGCCAUGGAGGAUGCACAGGGUCCUUCCCUCCUGCACCCCGCUCCCAUCUCACACUUUUGGUGCUCCAGGAUGGAUGGGACGAGAUGGGAUGGGACGAGACAGGGCACUGCCGCCACUGUGGGGCUGAGGACAGAGGUCCCUUCCUUCCUGGAAACUCAGCACAGAGUUAG
This 585-nucleotide long non-coding RNA is filed under the name Cairina moschata (Muscovy duck). Its description in RNAcentral is "domestica (muscovy Duck (domestic type)) lncRNA (ENSCMMG00000007581.1)". The record is from RNAcentral. Lineage: Eukaryota; Metazoa; Chordata; Aves; Anseriformes; Anatidae.